This is an RNA transcript of Setaria italica (foxtail millet), 1370 nucleotides long. It is a transcript of the gene named nuclear speckle RNA-binding protein A, with no coding region annotated. Lineage: Eukaryota; Viridiplantae; Streptophyta; Magnoliopsida; Poales; Poaceae. The record is from RefSeq and is a predicted model, not a curated record. The transcript has 8 exons.
CCACACGUCAUUCCUCCUCCACUCCCUCCCCUCUCCACUCCCGCCGCCUGUCUCGCUUCCACUCCCUCCCACUUCCAGGCGGACCUCCCCUCCCCUCCCCUCCCGGCUCCCGCGAUGGCCGACGCGUACUGGAGGUACGCGGCCGCCGACCCGCGGCAGCAGCAGCAGCAGCCCCCCUCCGCCGCGGCAGGCGCGGGGGCGCACCCGGGCAUGGGCGGCGCCCCGCAGAUGGCCGCCGCCGGGGGCCAGCAGCCCAUGAAGCGCCCCCGCCCCACCGACUUCUCAGAUGGACCUGGUGCACCUGACAUGACCGGCUAUUAUCCUCGUGAUGAAGAAAGGGCAGGGUAUCGUGCUGCUAGAGAUACCGAGGCUCUUAAUGCGUCCUACGAACGUUUUCUGCGUACUGGGCAAAUUCAAUCCUAUGGUGCUGGACCUGCUGGAGAACCUAUUAGGCCUGCUGUUGGAGGCAAUGCUGGCUACCCUGUUGAUGAGCGUUCAAUGAUGGCUGCUAGGGGUAUGGAUAGCAGAAAUAUUGGUGGUUAUGGUGGUGGAAUGCCAGAGCCACCCCUUCCACCUGAUGCCUCAAACACCUUAUACAUUGAAGGCAUACCUACUGGCUGUACACGUCGAGAAGUUUCACAUAUCUUCCGACCGUUUGUUGGCUUCCGUGAAGUUAGGCUUGUAAACAAAGAACCGAAACAUCCUGGUGGUGACCCUAUUGUCCUCUGUUUUGUUGAUUUUGCUGAAGCUACUCAAGCUGCUAUUGCCAUGGAUGCUUUGCAAGGCUAUAAGUUUGAUGAGCAUGAUCGCAAUUCAUCCAACCUGCGUCUGCAGUUUGCUCGUUUUACGGGUCCAAGGGGGAAUUCAGGACCUGGUGGACCUCGUGGUAGGCGAUAAGUUUAUGGCGUUCAAAUUGCCAGUGUAGGCAGCAUCUUGUUCUCGGUGGCGUUUGUGGAGAACGACUUGUGCUGAUGCUGUCCCUGUAUGCCAAAUAAUUUGGCCUGAUGGACGAGUUGUAUUGUGCUCCCUCAAUCCCAAUGCAGCCCCGGACAAUGGUGACUGCAAUCUCACUUUCUAACAGUGAGAUCAAGUUAAUGGAAGGAAGGGACAGCACAAUUCAGGACUCAGAUCCUAAGGCGUUCCAGUCAACUGAAAACAUGCUGCAUCAGAAUACCAUCUACCAAGAGCAGUUGAGCAGGAGCAAUUUACACCUCUUUUUUCUGACAACAACAAAAAUCCAGAUGAAAACCAUAGUAUUUGAUUCCAUUUCCUUCUGACUCGGAACAGAGAUUACAAGUUGCAAAUAUCUAAACAAAUAUGGCGAAAGAAUUGCAUGUAAUAAUAUGGUGUAUUGUAACUGGAGACAUCCA